CCUACGGGAGGCAGCAGUGGGGAAUUUUGGACAAUGGGCGCAAGCCUGAUCCAGCCAUGCCGCGUGCGGGAAGAAGGCCUUCGGGUUGUAAACCGCUUUUGUCAGGGAAGAAAUCCCUUGAGCUAAUACCUCGGGGGGAUGACGGUACCUGAAGAAUAAGCACCGGCUAACUACGUGCCAGCAGCCGCGGUAAUACGUAGGGUGCAAGCGUUAAUCGGAAUUACUGGGCGUAAAGCGUGCGCAGGCGGUUAUGUAAGACAGGUGUGAAAUCCCCGGGCUUAACCUGGGAACUGCACUUGUGACUGCAUAGCUUGAGUGCGGCAGAGGGGGAUGGAAUUCCGCGUGUAGCAGUGAAAUGCGUAGAUAUGCGGAGGAACACCGAUGGCGAAGGCAAUCCCCCUGGGCCUGCACUGACGCUCAUGCAUAGAAGGACGGUGGGGUAGGACGAAACGAAGGAGUUAGUAUACCCGUACGGUAGUACCGACCGACCCGUAAACCGAACUAGUCUACUAGGUUGGUUGGU
Molecule: ribosomal RNA, 523 nt
Filed under: uncultured bacterium
Lineage: Bacteria
Description: bacterial SSU rRNA
Rfam family: Bacterial small subunit ribosomal RNA
Source: RNAcentral